Molecule: small RNA, 337 nt
Filed under: Histoplasma ohiense
Lineage: Eukaryota; Fungi; Ascomycota; Eurotiomycetes; Onygenales; Ajellomycetaceae
Description: hypothetical lncRNA
Source: RNAcentral
AAUAUGUUGAGGUUCACUCAGAGUGUUCUGAUUGAAAUGAUUCUUUUUCAGACUGUUUUUGAAUUGAUUGAACAUCUGUUCUUAUGCUAGCUGAGGGAUGAUGAUGGUUGAUCUGAAUAUGAGUGUUGAUGCUAAGUAUGGAGCAGUUCUGAGAGUGUUGAUGUGUAACUCUAUAUAUUGUUCUGAUGUGACUGAGUCAGUUAACACCACAGUGAAGAACUGGACUCAUUGACUUUGGCUGAAAAAAUACUGAAAGUAUGCAUGGUGUCAGAGCAUGGAGCUGUGAUGAGAUAUCUGCCACUGAUGCUCUUUAUUGUAAUACUGUUGCAUACAGAUG